CAUGUGGCAUGCAUGUGGUGUUUAGACUUGAACCUGGGGACACUUAUCUACUCGAAGUCCAACUCCGAAUAUGGCUUGGAUUUGUUCCAUAGAGGGUGAAAGACCCGUACGGGUAGAUUAUAUGUUUUGAAGUGUUCCUUAGAUGUUCUUGUCUUGGAGUCGGAUUGCUUGAGAAUGCAGUCCAAAGUGGGUGGUAAACUCCAUCCAAGGCUAAAUACCUGCACGAAUCCGAUAGUAGACAAGUACCGCGAGGGAAAGUUGAAAAGUACUCUGAAGAGAGAGUAAAUAGUACGUGAAGCCGCUUGUAUGGAAGCUGGUGGAGUCAAGCUUCUUAUUGUGGAAAUUGGCAUGGAGAUGUUUGUUCAUGGUUAAUGGAUUCAUUGGCUUGAAAAUAACCUGAUAGUUCGCUAUCACAUUUAUUCUCGGCAGUGUACGUGUUGUGGGUCCUAAUCGCCAGUCUCUUAUGUUAUUUUCCAUAAUAGUUAUCACGGGUCGGUGUGUCUGAUUGUGCGUGUUAGUUAAACCAGGUUUUAGUGAGUUUAACCGCUUGCUUGGCCUGGGAUGGCAGGUGGGUGCAUUCUGGACUCGUCUGGUUUGUAUCGUAUUAUAGCUUUGCUUGCUGACUAUCAUGUGUUAUAUUAUUCGACAUAUUGUUGCUAUUAUAGCGGUGUCCGAAAUGUAGCCAGCUGUUAAGGAAUCGUGGUAUUGAAGUAGACGUUCCCAUCCCGACCCCGUCUUGAAACACGGGACCAAGGAAGUUUAACCAUUUUCGCGAGUCAAUGGGCAGUAUUACGAAAAGCCAAAAGGCGUCAAUGAAAAGUAAAAGAUUGCAUCUCGCGAUCGAAGAGGUGUGAUGCUUGCCGUGCUCCUGACAUUAGGGCUUGGU
This 886-nucleotide ribosomal RNA is filed under the name Cornudiscoides proximus. Its description in RNAcentral is "eukaryotic LSU rRNA". It matches the Rfam family "Eukaryotic large subunit ribosomal RNA", at positions 131 to 789 of the family's 3401-position model. Lineage: Eukaryota; Metazoa; Platyhelminthes; Monogenea; Dactylogyridea; Ancylodiscoididae. The record is from RNAcentral.